Molecule: unclassified non-coding RNA, 389 nt
Filed under: fungal sp.
Lineage: Eukaryota; Fungi
Description: partial internal transcribed spacer region
Rfam family: Eukaryotic small subunit ribosomal RNA (bases 1-46)
Source: RNAcentral
AAGUCGUAACAAGGUAACCGUAGGUGAACCUGCGGUUGGAUCAUUAACAAAAAUCCAAAUUUGAGGGGUUGGAGGGAGUGGGUUUUGCUUCAAGCAAUUCUCCUCUCUUUAACUUCUUUCACCUUUAUGUGCACCUGUUUAAACCCAAUUUCCAUUCUCUCUUUUCCGUUGUGACUGUUUUCUGGUGUGAUUUUGUUUACAAAAUCAUAUGGAAUCCAAAUCACUUUGGGAGGAGUGAAUGGGAAUGCGAGUGGAAAAGGGUUAUUCAUUUAACCUUUUCCCAUUCGAUUGAACAAAACCAAACGUUUUUCUAACUAAACUGUCUAAAAUAAAUAUAUUUUCAAAAAUAAUUGAAAAAACAACUUUUGACAACGGAUCUCUUGGCUCUC